AGAACGAACGCUGGCGGCAGGCUUAACACAUGCAAGUCGAACGCUCAUAGCAAUAUGGGAGUGGCGCACGGGUGAGUAAUACUUGGGAACGUGCCUUAGAGUCUGGGAUAACCACUGGAAACGGUGGCUAAUACCGGAUAUUCCCUCCGGGGGAAAGAUUUAUCGCUCUAAGAUCGGCCCAAGUCAGAUUAGGUAGUUGGUGGGGUAAUGGCCUACCAAGGCGACGAUCGGUAGCUGGUCUGAGAGGACGAUCAGCCACACUGGGAUUGAGAACGGCCCAGACUCCUACGGGGGGCAGCAGUGAGGAAUUUUCCGCAAUGGACGCAAGUCUGACGGAGCAACGCCGCGUGCAGGAUGAAGGUUUUCGGAUCGUAAACUGCUUUCUCGGGGACGAGCAAGGACGGUACCCGAGGAAGAGCCCGGCUAACUACGCGCCAGCAGCCGC
RNAcentral lists this ribosomal RNA (445 nucleotides) under uncultured bacterium. RNAcentral describes it as "SSU rRNA". It matches the Rfam family "Bacterial small subunit ribosomal RNA", at positions 26 to 518 of the family's 1533-position model. The record is from RNAcentral.